CCCCGAUGGCUCAGCAGGUAGAGAAUCUGCCUGCAAUGCAGGAGGUACAGGUUCGAUCCCUGGGUCAGGGA
RNAcentral lists this transfer RNA (71 nucleotides) under Bos taurus (domestic cattle). It matches the Rfam family "tRNA". Rfam says of the family: Transfer RNA (tRNA) molecules are approximately 80 nucleotides in length. The record is from Rfam by way of RNAcentral. RNAcentral also lists the same sequence under 2 other names. Lineage: Eukaryota; Metazoa; Chordata; Mammalia; Artiodactyla; Bovidae.